AGUGAACGCUGGCGGUAGGCCUAACACAUGCAAGUCGAACGGCAGCACAGUAAGAGCUUGCUCUUACGGGUGGCGAGUGGCGGACGGGUGAGGAAUACAUCGGAAUCUACUUUUUCGGGGGGGAUAACGGAGGGAAACUUACGCUAAUACCGCAUACGACCUACGGGUGAAAGCAGGGGAUCUUCGGACCUUGCGCGAUUGAAUGAGCCGAUGUCGGAUUAGCUAGUUGGCGGGGUAAAGGCCCACCAAGGCGACGAUCCGUAGCUGGUCUGAGAGGAUGAUCAGCCACACUGGAACUGAGACACGGUCCAGACUCCUACGGGAGGCAGCAGUGGGGAAUAUUGGACAAUGGGCGCAAGCCUGAUCCAGCCAUACCGCGUGGGUGAAGAAGGCCUUCGGGUUGUAAAGCCCUUUUGUUGGGAAAGAAAAGCAGCAGGUUAAUACCCCGCUGUUUUGACGGUACCCAAAGAAUAAGCACCGGCUAACUUCGUG
This 492-nucleotide ribosomal RNA is filed under the name uncultured bacterium. Its description in RNAcentral is "partial 16S ribosomal RNA". It matches the Rfam family "Bacterial small subunit ribosomal RNA", at positions 29 to 507 of the family's 1533-position model. The record is from RNAcentral.